UGAUGGCAUUGAACACUUAGGGAAAUUGGGACCACAAUUCAUAAAAUUGGGAUUAAAAAUCUUGCACAAUAGGGCCCCUAGCCGUGUGGCUUUGGAAAUGGUCCCACACAUGUUGUGGCCAAUUUUAAUUGGUCCAACACAUGUGUGGACCAUAGGGACAUGGAGAUAUUUUAGUGGGAACUUAAAAAUAUGACCUCUAAGUCAUUUCUCUUUAUUUCUACACUUAGAAUAAAAAUUUAGAAGGAGGAGAACAACAACUCCAACCUCACGGCUAAGAGGAGAGAAACACAAGAUCAUUUCUAGCCUUCUCAAAAAAAAAAUUCCUUGGUGUUAAUCAACUAUAUUGAGGUCCCUAAGUAGCGUGGAAGAGUUGUUUGGGUCAUCCAACCACUAGUUGUGCCCAAUUGCAAACCCUAACUAUUGAAGGAAGUGAAGAACAAAGACCUUGGGGAGCCCGAGGCGUAAAUUUGGAGUAGCUUUAGAUUGGCUAGCUUGGAAGUGCGUUCGAGGUACAGACGCACAGUUCGGUGAUCCCCCAGUGUAGGAUACCCCUUUUGCUGUUGGAGUGCUCCCCUCCCUUCAGAGCACAUCUUUUGGUAUACACUUUUGUUCGCUAUGUUGUAUAUAUUCGUUCAUGGGUACGGCGGGGCCCUGUUCCGCCAUAUGAUUCGUUUGGUCUGUUUAGAGGUCUGUAAACUUAUUUGUGGGUGUGUGUGCCUACUUCUGCUCAGUUGUGUUUAUAUGAUUCUACCCAUUGUGGCAGCCUCGUCGGCAUGCAUUUUGUAUAUGUUUAAGGCAGCCUUGUCGGCUCGAACAUGUAUAUGUUGUUCUGUUGGCCCUGUGUGGCCUUUGUGGUA
Long non-coding RNA from Lycium barbarum (goji berry), 857 nucleotides. RefSeq lists it as uncharacterized. Lineage: Eukaryota; Viridiplantae; Streptophyta; Magnoliopsida; Solanales; Solanaceae. The record is from RefSeq and is a predicted model, not a curated record. The transcript has 3 exons.